AGGACGAACGCUGGCGGCGUGCUUAACACAUGCAAGUCGAGCGGAAAGGCCCUUCGGGGUACUCGAGCGGCGAACGGGUGAGUAACACGUGAGCAAUCUGCCCUUAGCUUCGGGAUAGCCCCGGGAAACCGGGAUUAAUACCGAAUACGACCUCGGCCGACAUCGGCUUUGGUGGAAAGUUUUUCGGCUAGGGAUGAACUCGCGGCCUAUCAGCUUGUUGGUGGGGUAAUGGCCUACCAAGGCGACGACGGGUAGCCGGCCUGAGAGGGCGACCGGCCACACUGGGACUGAGACACGGCCCAGACUCCUACGGGAGGCAGCAGUGGGGAAUAUUGCGCAAUGGGCGAAAGCCUGACGCAGCGACGCCGCGUGGGGGAUGAAGGCCUUCGGGUUGUAAACCCCGUUUCAGCAGGGACGAAGCGAGAGUGACGGUACCUGCAGAAGAAGCGCCGGCUAACUACGUGCCAGCAGCCGC
Molecule: ribosomal RNA, 475 nt
Filed under: uncultured bacterium
Lineage: Bacteria
Description: SSU rRNA
Rfam family: Bacterial small subunit ribosomal RNA
Source: RNAcentral